UUAGAGUUUGAUCAUGGCUCAGGACGAACGCUGGCGGCGCGCUUAACACAUGCAAGUCGAGCGAGAACCUGGCCUUCGGGCCUGGGGAAAGCGGCGAACGGGUGAGUAACACGUGGGUAACCCACCCUUGGUACCGGGAUAGCCCGAGGAAACUCGGAUUAAUACCGGAUGGCCCAACAGCUCUUCGGGGCGGUUGGAAAAGGUAGCUUCGGCCUCCGACCAAGGACGGGCCCGCGGCGGAUUAGCUUGUUGGUGAGGUAAUGGCCCACCAAGGCGACGAUCCGUAGCUGGUCUGAGAGGACGAUCAGCCACACUGGGACUGAGACACGGCCCAGACUCCUACGGGAGGCAGCAGUGGGGAGUCUUGCACAAUGGGCGAAAGCCUGAUGCAGCGACGCCGCGUGGGGGAAGAAGGCUCUCGGGUUGUAAACCCCUUUCAGGAAGGACGAAGCUACUCGGGUUAAUAGCCCAGAGGGUGACGGUACUUCCAGAAGAAGCCCCGGCUAACUACGUGCCAGCAGCCGCGGUACGC
RNAcentral lists this ribosomal RNA (532 nucleotides) under uncultured bacterium. RNAcentral's name for it is "bacterial SSU rRNA". It matches the Rfam family "Bacterial small subunit ribosomal RNA", at positions 1 to 525 of the family's 1533-position model. The record is from RNAcentral.